GAUGAACGCUGGCGGCGUGCCCAAUACAUGCAAGUCGAGCGAACAGAUGAGGAGCUUGCUCCUCUGACGUUAGCGGCGGACGGGUGAGUAACACGUGGAUAACCUACCUAUAAGACUGGGAUAACUUCGGGAAACCGGAGCUAAUACCGGAUAAUAUAUUGAACCGCAUGGUUCAAUAGUGAAAGACGGUUUUGCUGUCACUUAUAGAUGGAUCCGCGCCGCAUUAGCUAGUUGGUAAGGUAACGGCUUACCAAGGCAACGAUGCGUAGCCGACCUGAGAGGGUGAUCGGCCACACUGGAACUGAGACACGGUCCAGACUCCUACGGGAGGCAGCAGUAGGGAAUCUUCCGCAAUGGGCGAAAGCCUGACGGAGCAACGCCGCGUGAGUGAUGAAGGUCUUCGGAUCGUAAAACUCUGUUAUUAGGGAAGAACAAAUGUGUAAGUAACUGUGCACGUCUUGACGGUACCUAAUCAGAAAGCCACGGCUAACUACGUG
This 497-nucleotide ribosomal RNA is filed under the name uncultured bacterium. Its description in RNAcentral is "partial 16S ribosomal RNA". It matches the Rfam family "Bacterial small subunit ribosomal RNA", at positions 28 to 507 of the family's 1533-position model. The record is from RNAcentral.